Molecule: long non-coding RNA, 1025 nt
Filed under: Nicotiana tabacum (common tobacco)
Lineage: Eukaryota; Viridiplantae; Streptophyta; Magnoliopsida; Solanales; Solanaceae
Description: long non-coding RNA (NTAB_LNC004753)
Source: RNAcentral
UUCCCAUUAAUUCAAGAAUUUAUCAUUUACUAAAUGAAAAUAACAUAAUAAAACAUGGAAGGUAACAACAAAAUUCUCACCCAUGAUCACAUAAUUAAGAACUAGUACUAUAUCGAGAUAAUAUCUCAUUACAAACUCGUUAAUAUAAAACACAACAUAAUUAAAAUUCAUUCAACAACAUGAGGUCAAAUAGAAAUACAAUAAUUUAGUAAUAAACUAAGGAAAAAAAAUAUGUUGCUUCCUCAAACGCUAAUGUAACCACUUGUCUUGUAACUUUGCUCUUGAAUAAAUUUGAACUUUCAUGUACCUGUGGAAGAAAACAAAUAAUUUUAGUACAUUUGAUAACAUAAUUUAGCAAAAAACAUAUUUUCAAACAUUAGUCAUAUCAUAUUUUAGUUUGUGAAGAAAAUAAUAGAACGACAAAUUAGCACUGGCCGGUAGAAAGGUACUUAGUCAAAGUUAGACAGUAAAUAUUUAAUUCUUCUUUGACUCCAAAUAACCACAAGAAUUAAGACAAAGAGAUAUGAAAUUAAGAUUAACUAAUCUCUCAAAAAUUAAUGAAUAAUAGACAAUUUUCUUCAUACCUCUACAAUAGAAUUAAAUUAAUAAGAACCCACGAAUACGUACACAUAAUAUAUUAUCUGGAGAAACCCAAAUUUUUAUUGCCCUACAAUUGAAAGAAAAAGAUAUUCCGUAUGAGAGAUGCAACAGAAAAAAAUUGAAGUAUAAUUAAUAUUUUUUAACUUAGAUUGAGGAUUUGUACCAAAGCAAAGGAGGCGUCAGAAGAGGCUUUGCGUCUUAAAACGCCCAUCACGCAAAUUUGAUCUUUUAUGUUAUUAAAUCAACAAAAGAAUUCGAAGAAAAUUAAACAUUACAUAAUACAAAGAAUUUGUGUGUGUGAAAGAGAAAGAAAUAAUAAAUUAAUGGAGGUAGGUAAUAUAAAUCUAAGUGGUGCAAUAAUUUGAUUAGGGAGAUGAAUAUCACAAAGUGUUGGGAGAGAAAAGAGGGAGAAUUGAGAAAUGGGG